UAGACUCCCAUGUUCUCGAGUGGGGGAAAUCAAAAGUCAAAAGCAGUACAAUUGCCAUGAUAUUUGACUACUAAUUUGUCAAACAUACACCAAACAAAACCUCUAAAGCGGCAUGAACUAUUACACCAUCUGCUGGGAAUGUGGCUACAGAAACCAAGGUCAAACGCUCGCAAGGUAAUAUAUAUCUAAGGCUGCUCUAACAUAUAAAUCCUUAUUACACAGUAAUACAUAAACCAAGAAAAAUUAAAAUCAGUAAUAUUUUUAUAAAAAGGUUCACCAAAAACCUAAAACUAUUGAAAAGAAAAUGAUUUAUAAGAGAGAACUCGAAAAAAAAAAUAUAAGUAACAGUGACUCACAUGAAGCUUUAUGUGGUGACACUUCCGAAAGUUUCAGCAGAAUCUUUUCUCAUCUGUGCUCCAACAUUUCCUGCAGCUUGUGAAGCUGUCUCCUUGGCAGCCUCAUAAUUUUCUUUGGCUCGUUCACUCAUGGUUUCCUUGGCUGAUGUAUAUGUUUCCCCAACCCUUGCUCUAGCAUCAUCAUAGGCGCCAAAUGUUUUUUCUUUCAUGUUCUCUUUGGCAUUGCUGGCCACAUCUGAAACCGUGUUAAGCAUUUGGCCAGCCUUACCAUAAAAUAUAAAUGCAUAGGCAUCGGCAUCGGCAGCUUUAUCUUCGUAGUUAUCAUAGUAAUCUUUCCCUCCGGCCUUCGUGUUACUGGCCAUAUCUGAAGCCAUACCAUUGAUGAAUGCAUAGGCAUCGGCAGCUUUAUCUUCGUAGGUAUCAUAGUAAUCUUUCCCUCUCUGCUUCGCAUCACUGGCCAUAUUUGAAGCCUUGUUAGUGGCUUCACCAGCCUUACCGUAGACGAAGGCAUAGGCAUCGGCAGCUUUAUCUUCAUAGGUGUCAUAAGCUUCUUUCCCACUCUCCUUCCCGUAACUGGCCAUAUUUGAAGCAAUGUUAGUGGCUUCACCAGGCUUACCAUAGAUGAAGGCAUAUGCAUCCGCAGCUUUAUCUUCAUAGGUGUCGUAAGCAUCUUUCUCUCUCUCCUCGGCAUUACUGGCCAUAUUUGAAGCCAUGUCAAUGGCUUGACCAGCUUCACCAUAGAUGAAUGCAUAGGCAUCAGCAGCUUUAUCUUCAUAGGUGUCAUAAGCAUCUUUCCCUCUCUCCUUGGCCAAAUCAGGAACCAUUUUAAUGGCUUGACCUGCCUUACCGUAAAUGAAUGCAUGGGCAUCAGCAGCUUUAUCUUCAUACGUUUCGUAAGCAGAUUUUCCUCUUUCUUUGGCAUCAUUAGCCAUAUCCGAAGCUAUGUUCAUGGCUUGACCUGCCUUUCCAUACAUGAACGCGUAGGCAUCAGAAGCUUUAUCUUCAUAAGUAUCGUAUGCAUCUUUUCCUCUGGCUUUAACAUCACUGGCCAUAUUUGAAGCCAUGUUUGUGGCUUGAUCUACCUUCUCAUGAGCGAAGUUCUUUGCAUCACCCAUUUUAUCAGAGGCCAAGUUUGCAGCCUCAGAAGCAUAAUUUGC
Molecule: long non-coding RNA, 1513 nt
Filed under: Panax ginseng (ginseng)
Lineage: Eukaryota; Viridiplantae; Streptophyta; Magnoliopsida; Apiales; Araliaceae
Description: long non-coding RNA (PGIN_LNC017346)
Source: RNAcentral